UCUCCGUUGGUGAACCAGCGGAGGGAUCAUUACAGAGUUGCAAAACUCCCAACCAUUGUGAACCUACCUCACCGUUGCUUCGGCGGGUGGCCCGCUAACCCGGCGCCGCGCCGGCACCCACCUUCGGGGGGUGCCGGCAACCCGUCAGAGGACCGAAACACUUAGUCAUCUUGGCCUCUCUGAGUAACUUAUACAAUAAGUCAAAACUUUCAACAACGGAUCUCUUGGUUCUG
This 233-nucleotide unclassified non-coding RNA is filed under the name root metagenome. RNAcentral describes it as "partial contains small subunit ribosomal RNA, internal transcribed spacer 1, and 5.8S ribosomal RNA". The record is from RNAcentral.